GAUAACCUGCCUCAAGGCUGGGGAUAACAUUUGGAAACAGAUGCUAAUACCGAAUAAAACUUAGUAUCGCAUGAUAUCAAGUUAAAAGGCGCUACGGCGUCACCUAGAGAUGGAUCCGCGGUGCAUUAGUUAGUUGGUGGGGUAAAGGCUUACCAAGACGAUGAUGCAUAGCCGAGUUGAGAGACUGAUCGGCCACAUUGGGACUGAGACACGGCCCAAACUCCUACGGGAGGCUGCAGUAGGGAAUCUUCCACAAUGGGCGCAAGCCUGAUGGAGCAACGCCGCGUGUGUGAUGAAGGCUUUCGGGUCGUAAAGCACUGUUGUAUGGGAAGAAAUGCUAAAAUAGGGAAUGAUUUUAGUUUGACGGUACCAUACCAGAAAGGGACGGCUAAAUACGUGCCAGCAGCCGCGGUAAUACGUAUGUCCCGAGCGUUAUCCGGAUUUAUUGGGCGUAAAGCGAGCGCAGACGGUUGAUUAAGUCUGAUGUGAAAGCCCGGAGCUCAACUCCGGAAUGGCAUUGGAAACUGGUUAACUUGAGUGUUGUAGAGGUAAGUGGAACUCCAUGUGUAGCGGUGGAAUGCGUAGAUAUAUGGAAGAACACCAGUGGCGAAGGCGGCUUACUGGACAACAACUGACGUUGAGGCUCGAAAGUGUGGGUAGCAAACAGGAUUAGAUACCCUGGUAGUCCACACCGUAAACGAUGAAUACUAGGUGUUAGGAGGUUUCCGCCUCUUAGUGCCGAAGCUAACGCAUUAAGUAUUCCGCCUGGGGAGUACGACCGCAAGGUUGAAACUCAAAGGAAUUGACGGGGACCCGCACAAGCGGUGGAGCAUGUGGUUUAAUUCGAAGCAACGCGAAGAACCUUACCAGGUCUUGACAUCCUUUGAAGCUUUUAGAGAUAGAAGUGUUCUCUUCGGAGACAAAGUGACAGGUGGUGCAUGGUCGUCGUCAGCUCGUGUCGUGAGAUGUUGGGUUAAGUCCCGCAACGAGCGCAACCCUUAUUGUUAGUUGCCAGCAUUCAGUUGGGCACUCUAGCGAGACUGCCGGUGACAAACCGGAGGAAGGCGGGGACGACGUCAGAUCAUCAUGCCCCUUAUGACCUGGGCUACACACGUGCUACAAUGGCGUAUACAACGAGUUGCCAACCUGCGAAGGUGAGCUAAUCUCUUAAAGUACGUCUCAGUUCGGACUGCAGUCUGCAACUCGACUGCACGAAGUCGGAAUCGCUAGUAAUCGCGGAUCAGCACGCCGCGGUGAAUACGUUCCCGGGUCUUGUACACACCGCCCGUCACACCAUGGGAGUUUGUAAUGCCC
RNAcentral lists this ribosomal RNA (1314 nucleotides) under Leuconostoc citreum. Its description in RNAcentral is "bacterial SSU rRNA". It matches the Rfam family "Bacterial small subunit ribosomal RNA", at positions 120 to 1422 of the family's 1533-position model. Lineage: Bacteria; Bacillati; Bacillota; Bacilli; Lactobacillales; Lactobacillaceae. The record is from RNAcentral.